Molecule: long non-coding RNA, 443 nt
Filed under: Ursus americanus (American black bear)
Lineage: Eukaryota; Metazoa; Chordata; Mammalia; Carnivora; Ursidae
Description: lncRNA (ENSUAMG00000025593.1)
Source: RNAcentral
AGGGAACACAAGCAGGGGGAGUGGGAGAGGAAGAAGCAGGCUCAUAGCGAGAAGCCUGAUGUGGGGCUCGAUCCCAGAACGCCAGGAUCACGCCCUGAGUCGAAGGCAGACGCUUAACCGCUGUGCCACCCAGGCGCCCCCCUGGAAACAUCCUUAAGCAACGUAAGUCAUGGCAAAAGGAUUGCAGGAGGUCACACGCGGAGACCAAGGACACCAAGGUGAUCCUCUCUCUUGAAACCUUUGUAACUAUUAAGGCUGGAGUGCCAUUUAAAGAAAAAGGAAGGCAAAGAAAUGAGCUAUAGGAAGCCAUGUUCCUGCUACGUGCUGAUUUACCAUGAAGCUAGUGUUUCAGCUGCAGCGCCCUUGACUCGAUGGACCCUCCCCAGGCUCUGAUACCAGGAAGAAGCAGCACCCCAACAUAGUGGAGGAAUGGAGUCCUGCUA